This 444-nucleotide ribosomal RNA is filed under the name uncultured bacterium. RNAcentral's name for it is "partial 16S ribosomal RNA". It matches the Rfam family "Bacterial small subunit ribosomal RNA", at positions 338 to 795 of the family's 1533-position model. The record is from RNAcentral.
CCUACGUGAGGCUGCAGUGGGGAAUAUUGCACAAUGGGCGAAAGCCUGAUGCAGCAACGCCGCGUGAAGGAAGAAGGGUUUCGGCUCGUAAACUUCUAUCAACAGGGACGCAAGAAAUGACGGUACCUGAAUAAGAAGCCCCGGCUAACUACGUGCCAGCAGCCGCGGUAAUACGUAGGGGGCAAGCGGUAUCCGGAAUUACUGGGUUUAAAGGGUGCGUAUGCUGUGAGGUAAGUCAGCGGGGAAAUGCCACCGCUCAACGGGGUGAAGUGCCAUUGAUACUGCCUUGCUGGAAUGCGGAUGCCGUGGGAGGAAUGUGUGGUGUAGCGGUGAAAUGCAUAGAUAUCACACAGAACACCGAUUGCGAAGGCAUCGCACGAAUCCGCGAUUGACGCUGAUGCACGAAAGCGUGGGUAUCAAACAGGAUUAGAUACCCGUGUAGUC